GCCGGCCUAGCUCAAUUGGCAGAGCAACUGACUUGUAAUCAGUAGGUUGGGGGUUCAAGUCCUCUGGCCGGCA
This is a transfer RNA of Lentibacillus amyloliquefaciens, 73 nucleotides long. It matches the Rfam family "tRNA". Rfam says of the family: Transfer RNA (tRNA) molecules are approximately 80 nucleotides in length. Their secondary structure includes four short double-helical elements and three loops (D, anti-codon, and T loops). The record is from Rfam. Lineage: Bacteria; Bacillati; Bacillota; Bacilli; Caryophanales; Bacillaceae.